AGUUGUCUUCAAGGCGCGGUGAAAUUCCCGACCGGCGGUGCAAGCCCGCAACCCACGUCACGUGGUUGAUCCAGUUGAAUCCUGGAGCCGACAGUAUAGUCUGGUAUAUAGAAGAAGCUU
This 120-nucleotide non-coding RNA is filed under the name Limosilactobacillus pontis. RNAcentral's name for it is "Lactobacillus pontis FMN sequence". It matches the Rfam family "FMN riboswitch aptamer (RFN element)". Rfam says of the family: The RFN element is a highly conserved domain that is found frequently in the 5'-untranslated regions of prokaryotic mRNAs that encode for flavin mononucleotide (FMN) biosynthesis and transport proteins. This element is a metabolite-dependent riboswitch that directly binds FMN in the absence of proteins. In Bacillus subtilis, the riboswitch most likely controls gene expression by causing premature transcription termination within the 5' untranslated region of the ribDEAHT operon and precluding access to the ribosome-binding site of ypaA mRNA. Lineage: Bacteria; Bacillati; Bacillota; Bacilli; Lactobacillales; Lactobacillaceae. The record is from RNAcentral.